RNAcentral lists this ribosomal RNA (253 nucleotides) under uncultured bacterium. Its description in RNAcentral is "partial 16S ribosomal RNA". It matches the Rfam family "Bacterial small subunit ribosomal RNA", at positions 524 to 776 of the family's 1533-position model. The record is from RNAcentral.
UACAGAGGUCCCAAGCGUUGUUCGGAUUCACUGGGCGUAAAGGGUGCGUAGGUGGUCGGGUAAGUCUGAUGUGAAAUCUCCGAGCUUAACUCGGAAAUGGCAUUGGAUACUACUUGGCUAGAGGGUUUGAGGGGGGACUGGAAUACUUGGUGUAGCAGUGAAAUGCGUAGAUAUCAAGUGGAACACCAGUGGCGAAGGCGAGUCCCUGGAAAACUCCCGACACUAAGGCACGAAAGCUAGGGGAGCAAACAGG